Sarcophilus harrisii (Tasmanian devil) is the source of this 1316-nucleotide long non-coding RNA. RefSeq lists it as uncharacterized. The record is from RefSeq and is a predicted model, not a curated record. Lineage: Eukaryota; Metazoa; Chordata; Mammalia; Dasyuromorphia; Dasyuridae. The transcript has 3 exons.
GUGGGUGGUUCACAUUGAAACAGGGGAGAUGAGGCAAGUUCACACACUUUCUAUAAACCCAGUGGAAAUUCUCCUGCUAAGAAAACCUAUAAAUGUCCCAUGCUUGGUCAACUGUGCUGUUAAAGCCUUGUGAAGCUCACCAGAGCAGGGGUAUCCCCUUUGCAGAUACCACUGCUGGAAUGGCCUGCCUCACAAGCUGCAGGUAGGGAUGGGGAGUGACAGGUUAACUGUGAUGCAAUAAAGCUAAACAGUCAAGUGGAUGGAGGUCAGUGUAGAGGCUAAGCCAAGGUUCUUGUUCCUCCAGGAAGUGAGCGAGAAUUCCUGCUAUGACCUGACCAGGGUGAAAAUGAUGAGAUCCUAUAGGCAACACCCCGAAACUUUGUGGAGAAUUACUACUCAUCACCCCCAUCCACUGAGGUCUGUACAAUCAGGGUGAAGGAAUAAGCAUGCUGGCAAUUCCACAUUUCUAGGAAGCACCGUUCCCCGACUCUGCUCUCCUUUCCACCAACCCAUCUCUUCUGUACCCCCAAGCCAUCGGGGAGUAAUUCUGUCUCUCACAGAUGAUAAGCACAACGAUCUCCAAGUGGCUUUCCUGAAUAUCUACCACAACCAGACCCUCAAAACCCUCAUGGCCUGGAGUGGGUGGUGCAAUUCUGCCCCAGGACUCACUAUGUGCUUAAGGUGAAUGGAAAUGUCUUCCUAAACCCUGGUUUCCUGGUGUAGCAGAUACUGACGCCUGAGCAGCCAGCCCUGCCAGACUUCAUCACUGGCUCUAUCACAGAAACAGACUCCCCAUUCUAAGGCAGAUCCAUCCUCAGUAUGUGCCCCUGGACAUGCUCUCCAGAGCCAGGUACCCACCUUACUGCUGCAACCCUGGCUAUGUGCUGUCGGGACAACUGACCCUCAAAGUGCUUUCCAUCGCCGGGAAAAUGCCAGCUGUCCACCUGGAGGAAGUCUGUGGGGCUGUGCCUGCGCCAGCGAGAGAUGGAGCCCACCCCAGUCCCCUCAACACCUUUCUGGUCUUUGGCCGAUCAUACAACCCCUGUGACUUCCACAGUUCAUCCUUCAUCCCUUGUCCAUCCCUCUGAGUAUCAGGAGCUUCUUCAAGUCUGGCCCAACUUUCAGAAAAGCACCACCACUCUGGUGGCAGAUUGAACGAAACCCUUCUCUGCUGGACUCUUUUAACUUACUUCCUCCUCCUGCCUUCCAGCAGGCAUCUCUUAUACUGCAAGGUAGAAUCACCCCAGGCCAUCCCCCACCUCCUUUCUCAUAAAUUUGGUUAUCUCCAAUAAAAGUGCUAUCAGAAAUGCCUUCAU